UACAGAGGAUGCAAGCGUUAUCCGGAAUGAUUGGGCGUAAAGCGUCUGUAGGUGGCUUUUUAAGUCCGCCGUCAAAUCCCAGGGCUCAACUCUGGACAGGCGGUGGAAACUACCAAGCUGGAGUACGGUAGGGGCAGAGGGAAUUUCCGGUGGAGCGGUGAAAUGCGUAGAGAUCGGAAAGAACACCAAAGGUGAAAACAGACAGCUGGGAGUGUGCUGACGCUGAGACGCGAAAGCCAGGGGAGCGAACGGG
Molecule: ribosomal RNA, 253 nt
Filed under: uncultured bacterium
Lineage: Bacteria
Description: partial 16S ribosomal RNA
Rfam family: Bacterial small subunit ribosomal RNA
Source: RNAcentral